This 569-nucleotide ribosomal RNA is filed under the name Serratia odorifera. RNAcentral describes it as "bacterial SSU rRNA". It matches the Rfam family "Bacterial small subunit ribosomal RNA", at positions 90 to 655 of the family's 1533-position model. Lineage: Bacteria; Pseudomonadati; Pseudomonadota; Gammaproteobacteria; Enterobacterales; Yersiniaceae. The record is from RNAcentral.
GACGAGCGGCGGACGGGUGAGUAAUGUCUGGGAAACUGCCCGAUGGAGGGGGAUAACCACUGGAAACGGUGGCUAAUACCGCAUAACGUCUACGGACCAAAGAGGGGGACCUUCGGGCCUCUUGCCAUCGGAUGUGCCCAGAUGGGAUUAGCUAGUAGGUGGGGUAACGGCUCACCUAGGCGACGAUCCCUAGCUGGUCUGAGAGGAUGACCAGCCACACUGGAACUGAGACACGGUCCAGACUCCUACGGGAGGCAGCAGUGGGGAAUAUUGCACAAUGGGCGCAAGCCUGAUGCAGCCAUGCCGCGUGUGUGAAGAAGGCCUUCGGGUUGUAAAGCACUUUCAGCGAGGAGGAAGGCCAAUAGCUUAAUACGUUGUUGGAUUGACGUUACUCGCAGAAGAAGCACCGGCUAACUCCGUGCCAGCAGCCGCGGUAAUACGGAGGGUGCAAGCGUUAAUCGGAAUUACUGGGCGUAAAGCGCACGCAGGCGGUUUGUUAAGUCAGAUGUGAAAUCCCCGCGCUUAACGUGGGAACUGCAUUUGAAACUGGCAAGCUAGAGUCUCGUAGA